UGGGGAAUUUUGGACAAUGGGGGAAACCCUGAUCCAGCGAUGCCGCGUGUGUGAAGAAGGCCUUCGGGUUGUAAAGCACUUUAAGCAGGGAAGAAUCCAGUUUGACCUAACACGUCAGACCUUGACGGUACCUGCAGAAUAAGCACCGGCUAACUCUGUGCCAGCAGCCGCGGUAAUACAGAGGGUGCAAGCGUUAAUCGGAUUUACUGGGCGUAAAGCGUGCGUAGGUGGUUCAGUGUGUCGGUCGUGAAAUCCCCGGGCUUAACCUGGGAACUGCGGCCGAAACUGCUGAGCUAGAGUGUGGUAGAGGGUGGUGGAAUUCCGGGUGUAGCGGUGAAAUGCGUAGAUAUCCGGAGGAACAUCGAUGGCGAAGGCAGCCGCCUGGGCCACAACUGACACUGAGGUACGAAAGCGUGGGUAGCAAACAGG
Molecule: ribosomal RNA, 429 nt
Filed under: uncultured bacterium
Lineage: Bacteria
Description: bacterial SSU rRNA
Rfam family: Bacterial small subunit ribosomal RNA
Source: RNAcentral